Long non-coding RNA from Arabidopsis thaliana (thale cress), 267 nucleotides. RefSeq annotates it as other RNA. NCBI's taxonomy places the organism in Eukaryota, Viridiplantae, Streptophyta, Magnoliopsida, Brassicales, Brassicaceae. The record is from RefSeq. The transcript has a single exon.
GCCUCCUCUUGUCUUUCUAGUUUUUUUUUCUUAUGGAAUCUAUCACAUUAUACAUGUCUUGUGGUAGAUUUGUAAUGGGAUUGGUCACACGAUGUCAUAGUAUUCCUAUGUUCCUUUUUUCUCUCCAAGGUAUCUUGCCGUGUAAUAUUUUUCCAUCUCUCAAAUCUAGAGUACUAAUAAUUAAGAAAUCUAAAGCCUAAUAGAUAGUGUAUGGACCGACAAAAAAUAAUAGAUAGUGUAUGGAAGUAUCCGAACAGCCCAUUUGAG